RNAcentral lists this unclassified non-coding RNA (296 nucleotides) under Glomeraceae sp. RNAcentral's name for it is "partial contains 5.8S ribosomal RNA and internal transcribed spacer 2". The stretch from base 1 to 65 matches the Rfam family "5.8S ribosomal RNA", at positions 84 to 154 of the family's 154-position model. Lineage: Eukaryota; Fungi; Glomeromycota; Glomeromycetes; Glomerales; Glomeraceae. The record is from RNAcentral.
GUGAAUCAUCGAAUUUUUGAACGCAAAUUGCACUCCCUUCGGAGAGUAUGAGUGUUUGAGGGUCAGUAUUAAUAAAAAUCGGUGUGUUGUUUCUUUGUGACGCUCCGGAGUUUGGGUCAUUUUAAUAUCUUUUAGGUUUUAAGAGGCUUAAAAUUGGCUUUUUUUGCGAAUAUUAGAUGUACAUAAAUUCUUUUCUUUAUUUGUCUGUCUUAAUGCUCAUAAUACUAUUAGUUGCGAGCAUAUCGUGUGGUUUCGUUUGUAUAUAUUUUUUAUGAUUUGUGAUCAAAUUAGGUAGG